ACAGAUGCUUGGACCGACCGAAAAAGGAGAAGCAUUAUGAACUUGUGCGUUAAUUGUAAGCAAGGGACUUGUUUUCUUUCUUCAAAGGAAGAUUCAGAGGCGUCACACACGGGGGUGUAUAUCUUUGACUAUGUUGACAAGUUCAUUGAAGAUAUUGGGGCACAAAAUGUAGUUCAAGUAGUGACGGACAAUGCAUCCAACAAUAUGGCCGUGGCGGAUUUGCUAAAGAUCAAGAGGCCUAACAUAUUUUGGACCUCAUGUGGCACCCACACAAUUAACCUCAUGCUUGAAGGAAUUGGUAAGCAAUCCAAGUUUAAAGCUACUAUUGAUAAGGCCAAAGCGUUCACUAUAUUUGUUUAUGCUCAUCAUAAUACAUUGGCGAUGAUGAGAAAAUAUACGAAGAAGAGAGACAUAGUGAGGCCGGGUGUUACUCGAUUUGCUACAUCAUUCUUGACUUUACAAAGUUUGAUGGAAAAGAAACAAGAAUUGCGAGCGAUGUUUAGUAGCAAUGUAUGGGGUGAGAGUAAAUGGGCUAAGAGCCCAAAGGGAAAAACGGCAUAUGCUACUGUGAUGAGUCAGGCAUUUUGGAAUGGCGUAACCUUAUGCUUGAAAGUGUUUGGUCUGUUGGUGAUAGUUCUUCGACUUGUUGAUGGGGAUCGUAAGCCCUCAAUGGGCUUUGUGUAUGGAGAGCUCACAAAAGCAAAAGAAGAGAUCAACGCGGCAUACAAGCAAGUUGAGACUAACUACCGGCCAAUACUAGAUGUCAUUGAUGGGAAAGCUAAGGGUCGGCUAGAUAGUGCAUUGCAUUUGACAGCUUACUUUUUGAAUCCUUUUUACUUCUUCAACAAUUCUACCAUUCAAGAUGAUCCUAUCAUUAUGGAUGGGGUUCUUACUUGUGUUGAAGCUUUCUUUCCCGAUGAUGUCAAUGUUCAAGAUGAAGUCAUCAAUCGAGAGUUGUUGAAGUACAAGAACAAAGAAGGUGGAUUUGGAAGACCAUUAGCCGCAAUGGGAUGUGCGACGAACAAUGACUCUUAUGAUCCGGGUAAAUAAGUAGUUACUUUCCUUCUUAGUAUUAUUCUUUUUGCUAAGUUACUUAGUUACUUAGUACUAUUUUUUUGUGUGCUUUCUCUCAUGACUAGUUGGAUGGUGGUCUAACUAUGGCAAUCAUACACCCAAUUUGAAAAGAAUGGCCACUCGAAUUCUCUCUUUGACUUCAAGUUCAUCGGGGUGUGAGAGAAAUUGGAGCACUUUUGAGGGAAUACAUACAAAGAAAAGGAAUAGACUAGAUGCGACAAGGUUGAACAAUCUAGUCUAUGUCCAAUUCAAUGUCAAACUCAUCAACAAUAAAAGAAAUGGGAAGGAUGUAUUACGUACUAAAGAAUCAACAAAUGCACAAGGAUGGCUAGUUGAAGGUGGUGACGAGGAAGUUGACCCGGUUUCGGGACUUACAUGGGAGGUAAUUGGGGAAGCUACGGGAGCGGAUGAAGUCCUUCAACCUAGAAGGACUACUAGAAAUAUUGGAGUACGAGAACUACAUGAGGAAGAUUUUGUGUCGGAGGAUGAUACCGAAGAGGAGGUAGAUGAGGAUUUUGAGUGUGAGUCCGAUGGAGACGAAGUUAUGCAUGGAUAUGGAGAAGAAGAGGAUGCGUAAUUGACUAAUAAUUUCAUACUUGAUUUCAUUUGGUUUGAACGUUGAAGUUUGUAAUUGACUAGUAAUUUUCCGUACUUGUUUUCAUUUGGUUUGAACAUUGAAGUUUGUAAUUGACUAGUAAUUUUCAGUACUUGAUUUUAUUUGGUUUGAACUAUGAAUAUUGAACUUCUAUGUCUCUAUAUUUGAAAUGUAGAGAAGUGUUAACAUUGAGUAUCCGAUAGCCAAAGAGAACUAAGAAAUUUUUUGGGAGAGAAGAUAUAUCACAUCAACUAGAAAAACUGUGAUUAUUAAUGUCACGGACUCUAGGGAGGUUGUAGAAUAUUUAUAAAAAAAAAAACCCGACUAAUUGCUAAAAGGCGAUUAACGGCCGAUUAAUUGGUCUCGAAGCUUGAAGGUGGUCGGCCGCCCGCCUAGCGCCGAUCACUUUUUAGAACAUUGA
Molecule: RNA transcript, 2090 nt
Organism: Rhododendron vialii
Lineage: Eukaryota; Viridiplantae; Streptophyta; Magnoliopsida; Ericales; Ericaceae
Exons: 2
Source: RefSeq, a predicted model, not a curated record